RNAcentral lists this ribosomal RNA (819 nucleotides) under uncultured Spirillospora sp. Its description in RNAcentral is "bacterial SSU rRNA". It matches the Rfam family "Bacterial small subunit ribosomal RNA", at positions 8 to 842 of the family's 1533-position model. The record is from RNAcentral. Lineage: Bacteria; Bacillati; Actinomycetota; Actinomycetes; Streptosporangiales; Thermomonosporaceae.
AGAGUUUGAUCCUGGCUCAGGACGAACGCUGGCGGCGUGCUUAACACAUGCAAGUCGAGCGGAAAGGCCCCUUCGGGGGUACUCGAGCGGCGAACGGGUGAGUAACACGUGAGCAACCUGCCCCUGACUCUGGGAUAAGCCCGGGAAACUGGGUCUAAUACCGGAUACGACGCGCUCCUGCAUGGGGGUGUGUGGAAAGUUUUUCGGUUGGGGAUGGGCUCGCGGCCUAUCAGCUUGUUGGUGGGGUGAUGGCCUACCAAGGCGACGACGGGUAACCGGCCUGAGAGGGCGACCGGUCACACUGGGACUGAGACACGGCCCAGACUCCUACGGGAGGCAGCAGUGGGGAAUAUUGCGCAAUGGGCGGAAGCCUGACGCAGCGACGCCGCGUGGGGGAUGACGGCCUUCGGGUUGUAAACCCCUUUCAGCAGGGACGAAGCUAACGUGACGGUACCUGCAGAAGAAGCGCCGGCUAACUACGUGCCAGCAGCCGCGGUAAUACGUAGGGCGCAAGCGUUGUCCGGAAUUAUUGGGCGUAAAGAGCUCGUAGGCGGUCUGUCGCGUCCGUCGUGAAAGCCCACAGCUUAACUGUGGGUCUGCGGUGGAUACGGGCAGACUAGAGGCAGGUAGGGGAGAACGGAAUUCCCGGUGUAGCGGUGAAAUGCGCAGAUAUCGGGAGGAACACCGGUGGCGAAGGCGGUUCUCUGGGCCUGUACUGACGCUGAGGAGCGAAAGCGUGGGGAGCGAACAGGAUUAGAUACCCUGGUAGUCCACGCCGUAAACGUUGGGCGCUAGGUGUGGGGUUCUUCCACGGAUUCC